Molecule: long non-coding RNA, 238 nt
Filed under: Gossypium barbadense (sea-island cotton)
Lineage: Eukaryota; Viridiplantae; Streptophyta; Magnoliopsida; Malvales; Malvaceae
Description: long non-coding RNA (GBAR_LNC021721)
Source: RNAcentral
ACUAGAUGAAUCCUCUUAAGCAUCCAAUAAAUCCCAAUGAACCUAGGGCUCAACUUACCCUUCUGACCAACCUCAAAACUUUCUUCCAUGGAGAAAGCUUAAGAAAAACUUGAUCCCCAAUACUGAACUCGAUGUCAUUCCGCUUUAAGUCAGCAUAGAACUUUUGUCUAUUCAGAGCUGCCUUUAAUUUGUCCCAAAUUAACCGAAUUUUAUCCUCAGUCUCGAAAACUAAAUCUGG